RNAcentral lists this ribosomal RNA (468 nucleotides) under uncultured bacterium. RNAcentral describes it as "partial 16S ribosomal RNA". It matches the Rfam family "Bacterial small subunit ribosomal RNA", at positions 28 to 507 of the family's 1533-position model. The record is from RNAcentral.
GACGAACGCUGGCGGCGUGCUUAACACAUGCAAGUCGAACGGACAGGCCCUGCUUUUGUGGGGUGCUCGAGGGGCGAACGCGUGUGUGAAACGUGAGUAACCUGCCCUUGACUUUGGGAUAACUUCAUGAAACUGGGGCCACUACUGGAGAUGAGCUCUUGCUACGUGGUGUGGUUUGGAGAUUCUCGGCGGUUGUGGAGGGACUGGCGGCUUUUCAGCUUGUUGGUGGUGGUGUGGCUUACAAAGGCUUUGACGGGUCGCCGGCCUGAGAGCUGGACCAGCCACAUUGGGACUAAGAGACGGCCCAGACUCCUACGUGGCGCAACAGUGGGGAAUAUUACACAUUGGGCGCGAGCCUGAGGCAGCAACGUCGCGUGCGGGAUAAUGACCUUCGAGGUAUAAACAGCUUUCGCCUGAACCGAAGCGUGAGUGACGGUAAUGGGUAGGGAAGCACCGGCUAACUACGUG